This 253-nucleotide ribosomal RNA is filed under the name uncultured bacterium. RNAcentral describes it as "partial 16S ribosomal RNA". It matches the Rfam family "Bacterial small subunit ribosomal RNA", at positions 524 to 776 of the family's 1533-position model. The record is from RNAcentral.
UACGUAGGUGGCAAGCGUUGUCCGGAAUUAUUGGGCGUAAAGCGCGCGCAGGCGGCCUUUUAAGUCUGAUGUGAAAGCCCACGGCUCAACCGUGGAAGGUCAUUGGAAACUGAAAGGCUUGAGUACAGAAGAGGAAAGCGGAAUUCCACGUGUAGCGGUGAAAUGCGUAGAGAUGUGGAGGAACACCGGUGGCGAAGGCGGCAUCCUGGACCAACACUGACACUGAGGAGCGAAAGCCAGGGGAGCAAACGGG